This 253-nucleotide ribosomal RNA is filed under the name uncultured bacterium. Its description in RNAcentral is "partial 16S ribosomal RNA". It matches the Rfam family "Bacterial small subunit ribosomal RNA", at positions 524 to 776 of the family's 1533-position model. The record is from RNAcentral.
UACGAAGGGGGCUAGCGUUGCUCGGAAUGACUGGGCGUAAAGGGCGCGUAGGCGGAUGGCACAGUCAGAUGUGAAAUUCCCGGGCUUAACCUGGGGGCUGCAUUUGAUACGUGUUGUCUUGAGUUCGGAAGAGGGUCGUGGAAUUCCCAGUGUAGAGGUGAAAUGCGUAGAGAUCGGGAGGAACACCAGUGGCGAAGGCGGCUACCUGGACCAGCACUGACACUGAAGCACGAAAGCGUGGGGAGCAAACAGG